GUACACGCUGUGACUAGCAUAUCAAUAAGCGGAGGAAAAGAAACUAACAAGGAUUCCCUUAGUAACGGCGAGUGAAGCGGGAAGAGCUCAAAUUUGAAAUCUUAAAGGGUUUCCCUUUACGAAUUGUAGUUUAAAGAAGUGUUUUCUGUUAGAGGUUUCGGUAAAAGUUCUUUGGAAUAGGACAUCAUAGAGGGUGAGAAUCCCGUAUUUGACCUUUACUUUCUAACUUUGUGAUACACUUUCAAAGAGUCGGAUUGUUUGGGAAUGCAGUCCAAAAUGGGUGGUAAAUUUCAUCUAAAGCUAAAUAUUGGCGAGAGACCGAUAGCGAACAAGUACCGUGAGGGAAAGAUGAAAAGAACUUUGAAAAGAGAGUUAAACAGUACGUGAAAUUGUCAAAAGGGAAGCGUUUGACACCAGUGUUGUUUUCUCGAAAAUCAAUUAAAAAUGGCUCGAUUUUGUAUUGCUUGAGACCUUAAAGGCUCACUGUACAUUUUUCGUGUCUUUUUUAAUGCACUUUUCGUUUAACAAGUCAACAUCAGUUUCUUUUGUUGUAAAAGGGUCAUUGGAAGGUGGCUUUCUUUUCGGAGAAAGUGUUUAUAGCCUUUGGCCUCUGCAAUCGGAGAGACUGAGGUCUGCAGCGUAGACUCUUCGGGGUUAGAUACAUUUGUGCUAAGUUAUAGCUUUUUAUAGACAACUUGUUGACUAUAAUUAGUCUUGUAGCUUACUCGCUUAUGCUAUUUUACCUACGCUUAGGAUGUUGAGCGCAUGUCUCUCUCU
RNAcentral lists this ribosomal RNA (777 nucleotides) under uncultured Neocallimastigales. Its description in RNAcentral is "partial large subunit ribosomal RNA". It matches the Rfam family "Eukaryotic large subunit ribosomal RNA", at positions 22 to 616 of the family's 3401-position model. The record is from RNAcentral. Lineage: Eukaryota; Fungi; Neocallimastigomycota; Neocallimastigomycetes; Neocallimastigales.